Molecule: ribosomal RNA, 806 nt
Filed under: uncultured Pelagibacteraceae bacterium
Lineage: Bacteria; Pseudomonadati; Pseudomonadota; Alphaproteobacteria; Candidatus Pelagibacterales; Candidatus Pelagibacteraceae
Description: bacterial SSU rRNA
Rfam family: Bacterial small subunit ribosomal RNA
Source: RNAcentral
ACGCUGGCGGCACGCCUAACACAUGCAAGUCGAACGAAGUAGCAAUACUUAGUGGCAGACGGGUGAGUAACAUGUAGGUAUCUGCCCUUUGGCCUGGAAUAACAUGAGGAAACUUAUGCUAAUACCGGAUAAGUCUUUACGGAGAAAGCUUUAUGCACCAUUGGAUGAGCCUGCACUUGAUUAGUUUGUUGGUGGGGUAAUGGCCUACCAAGACUAUGAUCAAUAGCUGAUUUGAGAGGAUGAUCAGCCACAUUGGGACUGAGACACGGCCCAAACUCCUACGGGAGGCAGCAGUGGGGAAUCUUGCACAAUGGAGGAAACUCUGAUGCAGCGAUGCCGCGUGAGUGAAGAAGGCCCUUGGGUUGUAAAGCUCUUUCGUCGGGGAAGAAAAUGACUGUACCCGAAUAAGAAGGUCCGGCUAACUUCGUGCCAGCAGCCGCGGUAAUACGAAGGGACCUAGCGUAGUUCGGAAUUACUGGGCUUAAAGAGUUCGUAGGUGGUUGAAAAAGUUGGUGGUGAAAUCCCAGAGCUUAACUCUGGAACUGCCAUCAAAACUUUUCAGCUAGAGUAUGAUAGAGGAAAGCAGAAUUUCUAGUGUAGAGGUGAAAUUCGUAGAUAUUAGAAAGAAUACCAAUUGCGAAGGCAGCUUUCUGGAUCAUUACUGACGCUGAGGAACGAAAGCAUGGGUAGCGAAGAGGAUUAGAUACCCUCGUAGUCCAUGCCGUAAACGAUGUGUGUUAGACGUUGGAAAUUUAUUUUCAGUGUCGCAGUGAAAGCGAUAAACACACCGCCUGGGGAGUACGACC